CAUUUGCCUCUGGAACCCACCGGUCACAGGUAUUGUCAGAGUGUCCUGUUUGGGGAUAACCCCCAUUCCAGGCACCCUCGAUGAAGAGCCAGGACUGGAACAUGGGAUCUGAGAGGGAAACGGCGGGAAAAGGGGAGACAGGCUAAUUCCAGAGGCCCCUGCCCAGCCAGCGCUCUGCCCUGGCUCCACCUACUGAGUCCUGUGUCUGCUGCAGGUAUCGGGCUUUCCGGGAUGACGAUGGGCAUUAUUCCCAGACCUACUGGAAUCUUCUUGCCAUCCGCCUGGCCUUCGUCAUUGUGUUUGAGGUAGCCGGGGCACCUGCUGAUUCUCCCAUCCAUGGCAUGACGCCCCCACCCUGUGCUUUGCGUAAUUCGAGCACGUGGUGAGGGGUCGCUGCGAUCACUUUCUGCUGUGUCAUCUUGUCAUCUUGGUCAAAUCAGAGCUCUUCUCUGCACCUGCGUUUUCCCUGCCUGGCCUCAAACCUGGCUUGUGGUGUGGACGUGCGUGCCUGGGCGUUGUGGUGUCUCCACAGGAGCUCCAGGGCCACAAAAGCUGGGGUGGCCUCUGCCCCUUCUGGGGUUCCUUUUCUUGCACAGCUGCUUUCUAGCUCUACCCACAGCUGGGAGCAGGUGCUGGAGCCCUGGCCUGCCUGGGCCUGUGAAGGCCACUCUGGGCGUUUGGGUGGGCUGAGUACCUUCCUCUGCUCCCAGCAUGUGGUUUUCUCCAUCGGCCGGCUCCUGGACCUCCUGGUGCCUGACAUCCCAGAGUCUGUGGAGAUCAAAGUGAAGCGGGAGUACUACCUGGCUAAGCAGGCGCUGGCUGAGAAUGAGGCUCUUUUUGGAACAAACGGAGCAAAGGAUGAGCAGCACCAGGGCUCAGAGCUCAGCCCCCACUGGACACCCUUCAGGGUUCCCAAAGCCAGCCAGCUGCGGCAGUGACGCCUGGAAGGACAUCUGGUGGCCCUUAGGGGAGCGGCCCCUGCUGAGCCCUGUGAACCGUGUCCUCCUCUUCCCUCAGGCAAUGGCUGUGUGAACCGCUGGCUGCUGUCGUGCCCUCAUCUCUGGGCACGUUGCCUGCUUCCCCCCAGCGCCGGCUUCUCUCCUGAGAGCACCUGUCACUCCAUCCCCAGCAGGGAGGGACUGUCAGCUCACAAGGCCCUCUUUGUUUCCCGUUCCCAGACAUAAGCCCAAGGGGCCCCUGCACCCAAGGCCCCCGUCCCUCGGUGGCCUCCCCAGACCCCUGGACACGACAGUUCUCAUCAGGCCGGUGGGCUUUGUGGUCCUCACCACCCCUGGCCGCAUCACCCGCUCCUCUUACACCUGCUGACCUUCGAAUGUUGCAGAGCACAGGACCUAUCUCCCUCGGGUCCUCUGGACCCACCCGCCUCUUCCUGCCCUGUCCGCGCAGGGACAUCACCCACAUGCCCCAGCUCUCAGACCCUGCACCUCUGUGUCCCUGGCCACAGCAAGGGUCCGUUCACCCCCUCCCUCCAUUCCCAAUUAUCUGGGUCCUCUGGAUGCUUGUUUCUUGAAUCAGGUUCCCCUUGCCCCCUAGCCACCAUAGGCAGCCUCUGACAGUGUCUCUUUGUCUUCUGCGGCGAUUAAACGUGUCCUUUUGAUCCUUGCCCGACUUCUUCUCCCAGCUCCUGGCCCCUGGCCCAGGGCCCUGCUUGCUGUUUUUCUCUCUGUUCCUCGGGGCGUAGUACACAGCAAGCACCCAAAUGGGGGAGGUUUUGGAAUGAGAGGAGGAAACAUGGAUACCUGUAACAUCUGGUGGCUCUUCCCCCAGCAGUUUGUGUGUUUGUACGUAAUUGUUUUCCACCCUGGAUCGCAGCGUGACGUGACGUGCAGUUUUGCCCUGUGCUGAGGAGCCACAUGAAUCUUCCCCUGGCUGUUGCCGCCCCACAGCAUUCCCAGUGUAACCGUCCCCUUGCUGACAAAUGGGUCUGUGCUCAUCUGUAUUGAUUUCCUUGGAGUUCUGCAAGUGGCACUUAAGUGUCAAAAA
Molecule: long non-coding RNA, 2004 nt
Organism: Mandrillus leucophaeus (drill)
Lineage: Eukaryota; Metazoa; Chordata; Mammalia; Primates; Cercopithecidae
Exons: 3
Source: RefSeq, a predicted model, not a curated record